This 424-nucleotide long non-coding RNA is filed under the name Androctonus crassicauda. The record is from RNAcentral. Lineage: Eukaryota; Metazoa; Arthropoda; Arachnida; Scorpiones; Buthidae.
GUUUUUGAAAAAUUUAAGUAUAAAAAAUUUAUUGGAUUGGAAUAUAUAGAUGUAAACAACUAAAAGAACAAAAUUUAUGAUUAUGUAUUAAUAAUAAUUUAUCUUGAAAAGUCUAUGGUUUAUAUAAGAAAAUUGCUUAUUGUGGAAAUCCAGAAUUCGGAUCAGAUGCAAGGUGUCAUUCUCCCACCUCAUCGAAAAUUACGAAAGGAAUUUGAACAGAGUGACACCUUAAAAGGAAAACAGACAAUAAAAAUAUCAUGUUAUCUCGCUUGGAGAACCUUGUCUCUACAACAUAAAGAAAUAAUAAAUAAUAAACAAUAGAAAUACAUGAUAAAAACAAAGGAAAACACAAGAUCUCAUUUUUCCCUGGGAAAAAGGUGAAAGAAAAGGUCAGCAAGUUUUAUCCAGGACAGAGAUAGACUGA